AGCGUUUAGCUGCGAAUUGAGCCAGUAUUGUAAAAAUCGUCUAACCGAUCUACCUAGGAACGACGUAAUUAGGGAGUGUUGCAGUAAAGAGCACAUAAAUCCGAUAGCAGAAUGCUUCAAGAAGAAAAUACAGAAUUAUCAACAAUUGAAAAGGUGCAAAUCGUCAUUAUUUACUUGCAUUGACGUAA
Long non-coding RNA from Centruroides sculpturatus (bark scorpion), 188 nucleotides. RefSeq lists it as uncharacterized. The record is from RefSeq and is a predicted model, not a curated record. NCBI's taxonomy places the organism in Eukaryota, Metazoa, Arthropoda, Arachnida, Scorpiones, Buthidae. The transcript is spliced from 4 exons.